GUCCCCCAUAGCUCAGUGGUAGAGCGUCCAACCGGCACCUGGAAGGUCAUGGGUUCGAUUCCCGUUGGGGAUA
This 73-nucleotide transfer RNA is filed under the name Desmophyllum pertusum. RNAcentral describes it as "tRNA-Ala". It matches the Rfam family "tRNA". From Rfam's summary of the family: Transfer RNA (tRNA) molecules are approximately 80 nucleotides in length. Their secondary structure includes four short double-helical elements and three loops (D, anti-codon, and T loops). Further hydrogen bonds mediate the characteristic L-shaped molecular structure. tRNAs have two regions of fundamental functional importance: the anti-codon, which is responsible for specific mRNA codon recognition, and the 3' end, to which the tRNAs corresponding amino acid is attached (by aminoacyl-tRNA synthetases). tRNAs cope with the degeneracy of the genetic code in two manners: having more than one tRNA (with a specific anti-codon) for a particular amino acid; and 'wobble' base-pairing, i.e. permitting non-standard base-pairing at the 3rd anti-codon position. The record is from RNAcentral. Lineage: Eukaryota; Metazoa; Cnidaria; Anthozoa; Scleractinia; Caryophylliidae.